This 683-nucleotide long non-coding RNA is filed under the name Mus musculus (house mouse). Its description in RNAcentral is "predicted gene, 56519". The record is from RNAcentral. Lineage: Eukaryota; Metazoa; Chordata; Mammalia; Rodentia; Muridae.
AAGACCGCUCGGUCGCCUCAGGGACAGCACCACCCAGCGAGGUCGCCCCUCCCCGGCCAGGGUUCCCCCCUGCAGCUGAGCUUCGCAAACACUCGGGAGUUUAGAGCAGCCCGGAGGGUGAUGCGGACUGAAAAGCCGAAAUAACUUCACAUCAGGACUCCGUCUAACCUUGUGGGUUUUAACGCACCCUGCUCUGUCCUGAAAUCUGGAACUCAUUACCUCAUCAUCGAGAAACUGCACGAAAUCCGCGGCACACACACCAACCCCCCCCUGGAGCUGGGGAGGGGAAGGAGCAAACAUCCCUUUAAAAAGAAACCUACACACCCGAAUGAUUUAAAUUAAGGUGGAUGGAAGUUAUUUCCCUUCCUGGCGCUUGCCAGAUUUCAAGAAAAGAUGAAAAAUGAGAGCGGGGGAGGGAAGGCACAGCAGCAGCAGCAAAACCCGGGGCAGCAGCCGUGUUAAAAAAUGGGGGGGGGGGGCAUCAACUCAAGUCACUGGAGAGGAGUCAAGCAGAGACCCCGCGGGGAAUUAACGUUAGGUUCGUGGGCUGCAGUAAAAGUCGUGUUUCGCAAAGUUGAAAGAAAAAAAAUUGUUUCUAAAACAGUUGUGAUUUGGAAGGUUUCCCUGGGUUUGCCCAGAGGCUGGCGAUAAAUAAAAGUUUUGUUUUUUUUUUUUUUCUUAAA